AUGACUGCUGUCGUUUCAGCCACUGGAGUACUUGUGGUCAUUUCAGACGUGGUCGUCGCAGCACUUGUAGAUGUUUCUGUUGUUGCAGUUGUACUUGGUGCUUCUGUGGAAGUUGCUGCUGUCGUACUUGUGACUUCCGUCGUUGUUCCUGCCACUGCAGUGGUAGAGGUUGUUUCAGAGAUCGUCGUUGCAGCACUUGUUGAUGUUUCUGUUGUAGCUGUUGUAGUUGGUACUUCUGUGGAAGUCGCUGCUGUCGUAGCUGUGACUGCUGUCGUUUCAGCCAGUGGAGUUGUUGUGGUCAUUUCAGACGUGGUUGUCGCAGCACUUGUAGAUGUUUCUGUUGUUGCAGUUGUACUUGGUGCUUCUGUGGAAGUAGCUGCUGUCGUAGUUGUGACUUCUGUCGUUUCUGCCAGUGGAGUGGAUGUGGUUGUUGCAGUUGUACUUGGUGCUUCUGUGGAAGUAGCUGCUGUCGUAGUUGUGACUUCUGUCGUUUCUGCCAGUGGAGUGGAUGUGGUUGUUUCAGACAUCGUCGUUGCAGCACUUGUUGAUGUUUCUGUUGUAGCUGUUGUAGUUGGUACUUCUGUGGAAGUCGCUGCUGUAGUAGCUGUGACUGCUGUCGUUUCAGCCACUGGAGUAGUUGCGGUCAUUUCAGACGUGGUCGUCGCAGCACUUGUAGAUGUUUCUGUUGUAGCAGUUGUACUUGGUGCUUCUGUGGAAGUAGCUGCUGUCGUAGUUGUGACUUCUGUCGUUUCUGCCAGUGGAGUGGAUGUGGUUGUUUCAGACAUCGUCGUUGCAGCACUUGUUGAUGUUUCUAUUGUAGCUGUUGUAGUUGGUACUUCUAUGGAAGUCGCUGCUGUAGUAGAUGUGACUGCUGUCGUUUCAGCCACUGGAGUAGUUGUGGUCAUUUCUGACGUGGUCGUCGCAGCACUUGUAGAUGUUUCUGUUGUUGCAGUUGUACUUGGUGCUUCUGUGGAAGUAGCUGCUGUAGUAGCUGUGACUUCCGUCGUUGUUCCUGCCACUGCAGUGGUAGAGGUUGUUUCAGACAUCGUCGUUGCAGCACUUGUUGAUGUUUCUGUUGUAGCUGUUGUAGUUGGUACUCCUGUGGAAGUCGCUGCUGUCGUAGCUGUGACUGCUGUCGUUUCAGCCACUGGAGUAGUUGUGGUCAUUUCUGACGUGGUCGUCGCAGCACUUGUAGAUGUUUCUGUUGUUGCAGUUGUACUUGGUGCUUCUGUGGAAGUUGCUGCUGUAGUAGCUGUGACUUCCGUCGUUGUUCCUGCCACUGCAGUGGUAGAGGUUGUUUCAGACAUCGUCGUUGCAGCACUUGUUGAUGUUUCUGUUGUAGCUGUUGUAGUUGGUACUCCUGUGGAAGUCGCUGCUGUCGUAGCUGUGACUGCUGUCGUUUCAGCCACUGGAGUAGUUGUGGUCAUUUCUGACGUGGUCGUCGCAGCACUUGUAGAUGUUUCUGUUGUUGCAGUUGUACUUGGUGCUUCUGUGGAAGUUGCUGCUGUAGUAGCUGUGACUGCCGUCGUUGUUCCUGCCACUGCAGUGGUAGAGGUUGUUUCAGACAUCGUCGUUGCAGCACUUGUUGAUGUUUCUGUUGUAGCUGUUGUAGUUGGUACUCCGGUGGAAGUCGCUGCUGUCGUAGAUGUGACUGCUGUCGUUUCAGCCACUGGAGUAGUUGUGGUCAUUUCUGACGUGGUCGUCGCAGCACUUGUAGAUGUUUCUGUUGUUGCAGUUGUACUUGGUGCUUCUGUGGAAGUUAGCUGCUGUAGUAGCUGUGACUGCCGUCGUUGUUCCUGCCACUGCAGUGGUAGAGGUUGUUUCAGACAUCGUCGUUGCAGCACUUGUGAUGUUUCUGUUGUAGCUGUUGUAGUUGGUACUCCGGUGGAAGUCGCUGCUGUCGUAGAUGUGACUGCUGUCGUUUCAGCCACUGGAGUAGUUGUGGUCAUUUCUGACGUGGUCGUCGCAGCACUUGUAGAUGUUUCUGUUGUUGCAGUUGUACUUGGUGCUUCUGUGGAAGUUGCUGCUGUAGUAGCUGUGACUGCCGUCGUUGUUCCUGCCACUGCAGUGGUAGAGGUUGUUUCAGACAUCGUCGUUGCAGCACUUGUUGAUGUUUCUGUUGUAGCUGUUGUAGUUGGUACUCCUGUGGAAGUCGCUGCUGUCGUAGAUGUGACUGCUGUCGUUUCAGCCACUGGAGUAGUUGUGGUCAUUUCUGACGUGGUCGUCGCAGCACUUGUAGAUGUUUCUGUUGUUGCAGUUGUACUUGGUGCUUCUGUGGAAGUUAGCUGCUGUAGUAGCUGUGACUUCCGUCGUUGUUCCUGCCACUGCAGUGGUAGAGGUUGUUUCAGACAUCGUCGUUGCAGCACUUGUUGAUGUUUCUGUUGUAGCUGUUGUAGUUGGUACUCCGGUGGAAGUCGCUGCUGUCGUAGAUGUGACUGCUGUCGUUUCAGCCACUGGAGUAGUUGUGGUCAUUUCUGACGUGGUCGUCGCAGCACUUGUAGAUGUUUCUGUUGUUGCAGUUGUACUUGGUGCUUCUGUGGAAGUUGCUGCUGUAGUAGCUGUGACUGCCGUCGUUGUUCCUGCCACUGCAGUGCUAGAGGUUGUUUCAGACAUCGUCGUUGCAGCACUUGUUGAUGUUUCCGUUGUAGCUGUUGUAGUUGGAACUCCUGUGGAAGUCGCUGCUGUCGUAGAUGUGACUGCUGUCGUUUCAGCCACUGGAGUAGUUGUGGUCAUUUCUGACGUGGUCGUCGCAGCACUUGUAGAUGUUUCUGUUGUUGCAGUUGUACUUGGUGCUUCUGUGGAAGUUGCUGCUGUAGUAGCUGUGACUGCCGUCGUUGUUCCUGCCACUGCAGUGGUAGAGGUUGUUUCAGACAUCGUCGUUGCAGCACUUGUUGAUGUUUCUGUUGUAGCUGUUGUAGUUGGUACUCCUGUGGAAGUCGCUGCUGUCGUAGAUGUGACUGCUGUCGUUUCAGCCACUGGAGUAGUUGUGGUCAUUUCUGACGUGGUCGUCGCAGCACUUGUAGAUGUUUCUGUUGUUGCAGUUGUACUUGGUGCUUCUGUGGAAGUAGCUGCUGUAGUAGCUGUGACUUCCGUCGUUGUUCCUGCCACUGCAGUGGUAGAGGUUGUUUCAGACAUCGUCGUUGCAGCACUUGUUGAUGUUUCUGUUGUAGCUGUUGUAGUUGGAACUCCUGUGGAAGUCGCUGCUGUCGUAGCUGUGACUGCUGUCGUUUCAGCCACUGGAGUAGUUGUGGUCAUUUCUGACGUGGUCGUCGCAGCAC
Molecule: long non-coding RNA, 3278 nt
Filed under: Scleropages formosus (Asian bonytongue)
Lineage: Eukaryota; Metazoa; Chordata; Actinopteri; Osteoglossiformes; Osteoglossidae
Description: lncRNA (ENSSFOG00015026550.1)
Source: RNAcentral